RNAcentral lists this long non-coding RNA (3313 nucleotides) under Mus musculus (house mouse). RNAcentral describes it as "long non-coding RNA chr12:4612277-4615590". The record is from RNAcentral. Lineage: Eukaryota; Metazoa; Chordata; Mammalia; Rodentia; Muridae.
UAUAACUAAUUCUUAUUCAUCUUAUAAGGCUCAACACCAUAUGUUCUAUAGGGGCGCCAGUUAUCCUACCAGAGUUUGGUCAUUUUCAGUCACCAACUUCAGUACUUGGAACAAAUUUUGAAUUUUGCAUUUAUAUACAGCUAAAUAAUGCAUGGGGGAGUGCUCAAAAUGAUACUUCUCUCUCUCUGGAUGGUUACAGAAAAGCACUCAUUUACUGAAUACAGACUAUAUGUCAGGCAGUGUAUUACGUUUCGUAAUACUUAAAAAAAAGUGAUUGGAAGUAUUGUAGACAAGGAAUCUAAGACUUGAAAAAAGUGAAAUAACUUUUCUGCAGUCACAGUUAGGAGUAGAGCCAGGCAGAUCUGUUAUCUACAGGGAGCUUGUAGUAGUGCACUUAUUCAAACAAGCAUGUACUUUAAUAAUUACGCUGUUUUUGAUAAUUAUGUUUAAGCUCUGUGUGUCUCUGUGCUUUGCUAUACACUCCACUCCUUUAAGAUUAUUUUUUUAAAACCUAUAGAGCUUAAUUAAAAGACACUAUUACAUUUAUUUUGGACAUAUUUCUUGCUGAGGAUUUAAAAUGUUAUGGAUUUUCAUACUAUUUUUUAUAUACUUACUUUAUGCAGUUGAUUUCCUUAAACCAGUUCUUGCCUAGUCAUAACAGCUUUCUCUCUCUUGAAUUGAUUUCUGCAGAAAUGUUGGUUAAUGCCAAGGGUUUCUUCAUUCUGCAUUUGCUAUUACAUAUAACGUUUCUCUUAAAUGGCCUUGUACUGAAGGCAGCCCUGUUGCCAACAGAAUCCCCUCCUCGUCCCCAAGCACGGAUUCUGCUCAGCAGCAACAGGAGCUCUGCGUUGUUUUCCUUGUUGGAUGUGUGUGCUAAAGGUGACAGACAGUCCUACAGCUUAGAGUGUGCGCUAAACUGUGCUCAGCCUUUGCUGUGUGAAUGGCACCGUGUUCUCAUGUUGCAGAUGGCUGAGAGCUGCAAGAAGAAGUCAGGAUCAUGAUGGCUCAGUUUCCCACAGCGAUGAAUGGUAUGUAACUUUGUGCAUGGUAGGAUGGGCUUUGUUGUGGUGGGAAGCCUAUUUGAAAUAUUUUGUAGAUAAAUUUGAUGUUUUAAAUAUAAAACUUGAAGUAUUCUGAUUGAAAACACAGAGCAUUUUAGAGUAUUACAUGAAUCUUCUUAUUAAUAUUAUGCAGUAAAUUCCAUGUUUUUGUUGAAGCAUUUUUUGGUAGUAUCUGGCAUGUAUGUUUCCCAUCAAACAGGUGAGAGUAACUUAAAGAUAUAUUCUGCUUAAUGCAUGAAACUGAAGGACAAAAAGCUGAGUGCCUUUAGGUGAAUAAUAAAUGUAUUUUAGUUGUACAGAUGGUUGCAAAUAGGUGAGGCCAACAAGAUUCAUUUAGCAAUAUAAACGUAAGAUUAAAUUUCUCUUUCUGAAUAUUUAUAUUAUUUAAUGUUUAUAAUGUCUAAUUAUUUGAUCCGACAACCUGCAGUUGACCUGGUAGAAGGAGAGAAGUGACUCCUAUAAGUUGUUUUCUGCCUGUGCUCCUUCUAGUAAAUAAAUAAAUGUUAUUUAAGACUAUGUAAGAUUAAAAUAAAUAUUGUUUUUAUUGUGGAAAUGGUGUAGAAUUAUAGAGAUUUAUACUACAGGUACCUUUUAAAUUAAAUAAUUAUUAUUUUUCCUUAAUAAAUGAUAUAUAAGUUUAAGACAGCAAUACUCUAUCCAGGUUUGAGGAUUUCUGGGCCUCAUGAAAAAGCUUUUACUAAGCUUAGUUUACUUACAAACUUCAACAUGCAUAUUAAUGAGGUUUACAAUUCAAAAAAACAUACAAGUAGUAUGAUCUCAUUCUUUCUUUCAUUCCAUAAAUAUUUAUGUCUAUUAUGUAGCUCAUUGCAUUAUAAAUAAAAAUCAUUUGAAACAAAUAAAAUGUUCACUGACAAAUAUGCUUAUGUGAAUAAGGUACAAAUUAUUAACUAGAAAGUGGUUUGUAGGCAUAAAGACAAUCAUUUUUUAAUAAACUUCUGAAAAUUGAUAGCAGAGAGACUGUUAUCUUUGUACUUAGCCUAUUAAAAAUAGUUAAGUAACUUGUGUAUAUCUAAUUCAUGUCCAAUUCAACAUUUAAAAUGUUAAUUAGCUGGGCAGUGGUGUUGUACACCUUUAAUCCCAGCACUUGGGAGGCAGAGGCAGGUGGAUUUCUGAGUUUGAGGCCAGCCUGGUCUACAGAGUGAGUUCCAGGACAGCCAGGGCUACACAGAGAAACCUUGUCUCAAAAAACAAAAGUGUUAUUGAAAGUCACAUCCAUGUAUAAUAUAAAACUUCAAGAGCGGUUUCUGCCCCUCUAGUUGUUGAUGCUUGAGGCUACUGAGACUUAACCUGUUAGCAUACCUAGAUGCUGUGCUUUGUGUUAAUGCUGGGACCUGUCAUCUAAUUUUGCCAUGUCUAUUUUAUCAUUCUGAGGUUAACUACAAACCUUGUAGGCUCAGUGUGACAUCUGUCCAGCAUAGUAGCCACACCAUCUAUUUCAGUUUAGAUUUAAACUAAUAAAAAUUAUGUUGCUGCAUUUCAUGUGCUAAAAGCCACAGGUAACUGAGGCUGCCUUAUUGGACAGUGCAGAUAAAGACUAUUUAUAUCAUGUCACAUGGUUCUAGUAAACAAGGUUUUUCUCCUUGUCGUUGGUACUUCACUUCCUUUUCCUUAUUCUUUUAACAAGACUAGAGAGUUGGUUGUCAGUGCCUUGUGUUUUUGCAACUGUAGCUUUGCUCCUAAUCAUUUGGACUGCAGAACUGUCCUUCCAAAGCCUUCUGAAUCACUCGCUUUGCCUUCUGCUUUUCAAAGACUGAAUACAUUUGCAGAUUGAGAGAACAUGAUAGAUAGGCCUUCAAGUGCUAGGCAAGGGGUUAGUGCAGAUGCGUGUUGCUACUGGUUGAUAUUGCAAUGUGAUAUAGCUUCUUUCAGCCUCAGGAUUAUGGGGUGCUGAAGACUGAAGAAGAGUUCUGAAAUCCAUCAUAGUGACUUUAUCCAUAAUCUAGUAAGGAGCGGAAGUGAUACAGAAUAAAGAAACAAAACAAACAAACAAACAAGCAGCUUUAAGAAUAACACCUCCCUUCCAUUUUCUUGGAGCUUUAUUACUAGAGCUUUAGGGCGUAGCACUAUUCCAACCAUAUGGCUAGGAAGCUGCUGAGCUAGGUGUUGAGUGUGUGCAGUCACAUACAGCACUGCACUGUACUUGAAAAAAAACAGGUUUUUAUUUUAUUUUUUAUUGGAUUUUUUUUUAUCAAUUUAUUUCAAGUGUUAUCCCUUUUCCCGGUCCCCCCCCC